AAAUUCUUUGGUUCUGCAAACCGAUUGUUGCAGCAGUUGUCCAAGUGGCUGGUCUCAGAUGAUCUUGGAAGUGAACAUGUUGGUUGUGGAGGUCCUGGGCUGCCGUGGCUACAUGUGGUCUGCGAUUUUGAGGCCUGUUGGAUGAGCUGCCAAAUUCUCUGAAAUGCCUUUGGAGAUGGCUAAUGGUAGAGAAAUGAACAUUCAAUUCAUGGGCAACAGCUCUGGUGGACAUUUCUGCAAUCAGCAUGUCAAUUACACUCUCCCUCAAAACAUGCAGCAUCUGUGGCAUUGUGCUGUGUGAUAAAACUCAACAUUUUAGAGUGACCUUUUAUUGUGGCCUGCCUAAGGCACACCUGUGCAGUAAUCAUGCUGUCUAAUCAGCAGCUGUCUAAUAUGCCACACCUUUGAGGUGUGGCAUAUCUCGUCAAAGGAGAAGUGCUCAGUAACACAGAUUUAGACAACACUGUAAUCAAUAUUUGAGAGAAAUAGGUCUUUUGUGUAUGCAGAAAAAGUUUUGGAUCUUUGAGUUCAGCUCAUGAAAAAUGGGAG
Molecule: long non-coding RNA, 549 nt
Organism: Thalassophryne amazonica
Lineage: Eukaryota; Metazoa; Chordata; Actinopteri; Batrachoidiformes; Batrachoididae
Exons: 2
Source: RefSeq, a predicted model, not a curated record